UCUCUUUAUUCAUUACUUCGGUAAACCCAUCCCUUGCUCUCUCUGAUUUUUCAAAGUUCUCUCUCCCUUUCAGCUUCCUCUUCCUUCUCCGCCAUUCUCUCUACACCGUAGCUUCAUCGUCUUCAUCCUUCUGUUAACUGGGUUCUGUCCAGCAAGUUGGUAGGACUCAGGUGGCUGGGACUGGCAAGAAGGAUUGUGUUAACCUCACUUUGGCUGAUGAAUCGUAUGUUUCUUUCUUUACACCCAACAAAUAGAAGAUGCCUUAACAUUUGCUCAGGAAGGCCAUCCUUUUCCUUGAAGACCAUGAUGCCAUUAGCACACCCUCUCAGAUGAGUAACCACACGAUAACAACCUCUGCGGCACAUAACUGAAGCCCCGAAGUUAACAAAAACAACACUCCUUGAGCCAACUCCUGAUCCGGAUGCUGCUGAAUUCUCGACACCAAUGGCAUUGGCAACAAAGUCUGCAUGGACCAAGGCUACAUGGCAGACCAAGAAUAAAGCAAGUUGAAGAUCUUAUGGAUCUUGACAAGGCAGGAAUUACAUUUUGGCAACAAGCUGUUAGUUUGAGAUUUACCAUUGAAAGCUUCUAUUCUAAUUAAACCUGCCUUGUAUUAAUCUGCAUUUGAUGUUUAAUUCUCUCUGGAACAAUGUUUUAGUUAUUGGCAGACAAAAUGUGUCACCUACUGUUGUAAUGAAUUGAAUGGUGAUAUCAUUCACCUU
Vicia villosa (hairy vetch) is the source of this 722-nucleotide long non-coding RNA. RefSeq lists it as uncharacterized. The transcript is spliced from 4 exons. NCBI's taxonomy places the organism in Eukaryota, Viridiplantae, Streptophyta, Magnoliopsida, Fabales, Fabaceae. The record is from RefSeq and is a predicted model, not a curated record.